This 31-nucleotide non-coding RNA is filed under the name Homo sapiens (human). The record is from RNAcentral. Lineage: Eukaryota; Metazoa; Chordata; Mammalia; Primates; Hominidae.
UGCUUACAUUGAUGGUAAGGUAGCGGGGUAA